UACGAGGGGUGCAAGCGUUGCUCGGAAUUAUUGGGCGUAAAGGGUAGGUAGGUGGUCUCAUUUGUCUGGGGUGAAAGCCUCGAGCUUAACUCGAGAAGUGCCCCGGAAACGGUGAGACUAGAGUACUGGAGAGGGUCGUGGAAUUCCCGGUGUAGCGGUGAAAUGCGCAGAUAUCAGGAGGAACACCGGUGGCGAAGGCGGGUCUCUGGGCCGAUACUGACGCUGAGGAGCGAAAGCGUGGGGAGCGAACAGG
RNAcentral lists this ribosomal RNA (253 nucleotides) under uncultured bacterium. RNAcentral's name for it is "partial 16S ribosomal RNA". It matches the Rfam family "Bacterial small subunit ribosomal RNA", at positions 524 to 776 of the family's 1533-position model. The record is from RNAcentral.